AGCUCCCAGUUCAACUACAUUGGCAUUGUUUGGCAGUGUGCUUUUAGUUAUGGUCCCAGCCCUACAUUAUCUUAAGACGGCCAAAGGUCUCUUCCUCAACAUGGUCCGAAGGAUCACUUUUUGAACAAUUUCAGAUUAUAUGGCUCCAUCUAUACACAUUUCUACAUGGUUUCUAUCCCAAGAUUCAUCUAUUGAUGUUCCAAAGCGUACACUUCGCAGGAGGGAUGGCUCAAGGAUCUUAUAAUCCGCCCAUGUGGUCCAGCUGGCACUAGGGGUG
This 277-nucleotide long non-coding RNA is filed under the name Elaeis guineensis (African oil palm). RNAcentral's name for it is "long non-coding RNA (EGUI_LNC021239)". Lineage: Eukaryota; Viridiplantae; Streptophyta; Magnoliopsida; Arecales; Arecaceae. The record is from RNAcentral.